Molecule: ribosomal RNA, 493 nt
Filed under: uncultured bacterium
Lineage: Bacteria
Description: bacterial SSU rRNA
Rfam family: Bacterial small subunit ribosomal RNA
Source: RNAcentral
AGAGUUUGAUCAUGGCUCAGGAUGAACGCUGGCGGCGUUGCUUAACACAUGCAAGUCGAACGAUGAAAGCGGGAGCUUGCUCCUGCUGGAUUAGUGGCGAACGGGUGAGUAACACGUGAGUAACCUGCCCUUGACUCUGGGAUAAGCGUUGGAAACGACGUCUAAUACCGGAUACGACCUUCGGAGGCAUCUCCUGGGGGUGGAAAGAAUUUCGGUCAAGGAUGGACUCGCGGCCUAUCAGCUAGUUGGUGAGGUAAUGGGCUCACCAAGGCGACGACGGGUAGCCGGCCUGAGAGGGUGACCGGCCACACUGGGACUGAGACACGGCCCAGACUCCUACGGGAGGCAGCAGUGGGGAAUAUUGCACAAUGGGCGCAAGCCUGAUGCAGCAACGCCGCGUGAGGGACGACGGCCUUCGGGUUGUAAACCUCUUUUAGUAGGGAAGAAGCGAAAGUGACGGUACCUGGCAGAAAAAGCACCGGCUAACUACGUG